AGCUUUGCGCAGUGGCAGUAUCUUAGCCAAUCAGGUUUAUCCGAGGCGCGAUUAUUGCUAAUUGAAAACUUUUCCCAAUACCCCGCCAUGACGACUUGAAAUAUAGUCAGCAUAGGCAAUUUUUGACAGUCUCUACGGAGA
This 141-nucleotide small nuclear RNA is filed under the name Aotus nancymaae (Ma's night monkey). RNAcentral's name for it is "U4 spliceosomal RNA (ENSANAG00000009730.1)". It matches the Rfam family "U4 spliceosomal RNA". From Rfam's summary of the family: U4 small nuclear RNA (U4 snRNA) is a component of the major U2-dependent spliceosome. Lineage: Eukaryota; Metazoa; Chordata; Mammalia; Primates; Aotidae. The record is from Rfam by way of RNAcentral.